Molecule: long non-coding RNA, 1296 nt
Filed under: Malus domestica (apple)
Lineage: Eukaryota; Viridiplantae; Streptophyta; Magnoliopsida; Rosales; Rosaceae
Description: long non-coding RNA (MDOM_LNC005648)
Source: RNAcentral
AUUUGCCUCAAUGGCUAAGUGGCUUAACCCUAACUAUGUCGUGGACACCCUUUGACGGAGUGACUUUAACAUAGUCAAAGAUCAAGGACCUAGCCAUAAGACAACUAUGAUGCCUCAGGUCAAAUGACUACUUUGCAUUAUCCCAACCAUGAGUUUUCAUGUGACAUGACUAUGAGAACUCCUUGUUGAUCGCAUUCAGUGAACUCAUUCUCUAUUGAACACCUACAUGCUUGUCUUGGUGUCAGUCACAACAAUGACUCGAGGCCAGUCACUCUCUCUAAGAGAAGACAUAGAACGUACUGAUCUUAACGUAUUGUCAAUGCCUAAUUGGCAAUCCUAUGAUCAGGAAAGUUUAGGAUAUGUAUACGAAAGAGAAUGGUCUCAUGAAUCUAAACAAUAAUUUUUGCCCUUUAUAUUAAACUAUAUUAGUUUAACAUGUGAAACGUCCGUAAAAUAUCAUCAUAUGAUUGGAUUUAGAGCACAUUUCCAACAUAAUGAUAUUAUAGGGUGUGCUAUACACACACCUUUUUUUACUUAUUACACACCUUCUUAAUUUGUAGUCGUCAAAUAAAUGAAUUAAAGAAUAUCAAAUGAUAGAAAUUAACAGACGUGUGUGAGAAGUAAAAAAGGGUAUGCAGAUCCACGACACUAUAAAAAAACACAAGAUUUGACACAAGUUUUAAACCAUUAGAUUAGUCCAAUUUUUAUGGUUGAGAUGCAAUCUGACAUAGCAUUUAAUUUGACAUAUAAUUCUUAAAACAAAUAUACAUUUAAAACAAAUAUACAUUAGAAAUAAAAAUUAAAAUCCAAAACUUUCUUAAUUAUGAAUUUAAUUAUCUCUCCUUGAUAGGAGCAUAUUUAAUGCGACUUAGUUGGCUUGUUCUUGUGCAUUUAUGUCGUGUUUCCUUAGUUAUUAUAAUGUUUAAAGUCAUUUUCAUGUGUUUUCAGAUUUUAAGGACAAAGUAGGCAAGAAGAUGCAUUUUGGAGCAUUUUGGAGCAAAAUGGAGCUUGGAAUGCAUGUCACAUAUUUGGAACCAAGGUUUGGACGAAAUUGAAGACUUAAAGAGGCUAAGAGUGUGAAGAAUUAGUGUACAAAGGAUCAUGAACUCAGCCACAAAAGAACACACAUCCUUGCCGUGCAAUCCACAUAGCAUUCCCUUUGGAUUCUCAUGCAUGCUUAAUCAUCCUUGUCCCCUAAAAUAUUUCUGAUUUCAUGCCUCAAUACACUCAAUUAUCGCACUCAAUUGCUGCAUACCUCUUGUUCCCUUCACCCAUCAGAUUUCACAACCAUUCCAU